GACGAACGCUGGCGGCGUGCUUAACACAUGCAAGUGGAGCGACGAACCAGGGCUUGCCCUGGGGCAGAGCCGCGAACGGGUGAGUAACACGUGGGUUACCUGCCCCGAUGACCGGGACAACCCGAGGAAACUCGGGCUAAUACCGGAUGUGUCCGAAAGGGGAAAGGAGCUUCGGCCUCCGCAUCGGGAUGGGCCCGCGGCCCAUUAGCUUGUUGGUGAGGUAACGGCUCACCAAGGCUGCGANGGGUGGCUGGUCUGAGAGGACGAUCAGCCACACUGGGACUGAGACACGGCCCAGACUCCUACGGGAGGCAGCAGUGGGGAAUCUUGCGCAAUGCGC
RNAcentral lists this ribosomal RNA (340 nucleotides) under uncultured bacterium. Its description in RNAcentral is "bacterial SSU rRNA". It matches the Rfam family "Bacterial small subunit ribosomal RNA", at positions 28 to 376 of the family's 1533-position model. The record is from RNAcentral.